RNAcentral lists this ribosomal RNA (524 nucleotides) under Glaciibacter kafniensis. Its description in RNAcentral is "bacterial SSU rRNA". It matches the Rfam family "Bacterial small subunit ribosomal RNA", at positions 52 to 587 of the family's 1533-position model. Lineage: Bacteria; Bacillati; Actinomycetota; Actinomycetes; Micrococcales; Microbacteriaceae. The record is from RNAcentral.
CACAUGCAAGUCGAACGAUGAAGGAGGAGCUUGCUCCUCUGGAUUAGUGGCGAACGGGUGAGUAACACGUGAGCAAUCUGCCCUUGACUCUGGGAUAAGCGCUGGAAACGGCGUCUAAUACCGGAUACGACCCUCGGAGGCAUCUCCUGUGGGUGGAAAGAACUUCGGUCAAGGAUGAGCUCGCGGCCUAUCAGCUUGUUGGUGAGGUAAUGGCUCACCAAGGCGACGACGGGUAGCCGGCCUGAGAGGGUGACCGGCCACACUGGGACUGAGACACGGCCCAGACUCCUACGGGAGGCAGCAGUGGGGAAUAUUGCACAAUGGGCGCAAGCCUGAUGCAGCAACGCCGCGUGAGGGACGACGGCCUUCGGGUUGUAAACCUCUUUUAGCAGGGAAGAAGCGAGAGUGACGGUACCUGCAGAAAAAGCACCGGCUAACUACGUGCCAGCAGCCGCGGUAAUACGUAGGGUGCAAGCGUUGUCCGGAAUUAUUGGGCGUAAAGAGCUCGUAGGCGGUCUGUCGCG